AUAAAAUUGUGUUCUUUAGGGGGUGUUAUUCGUUAAUAAAUUUUAAUAGAAUUGAAAUCCAACACUAAUCCACUGUUAUUCAACUAAUGAUUCUAAAUCCAGCUUUAAAAUCUAGUGUUAUUGGAACUCAUAUUUGUAAAUCAUGCUUAAUAGAUUUUAAAGUUUGGUGUUAUUCAAUUAAGAUUUUAAAUAUUUCAUUAAAAUCU
Molecule: small RNA, 206 nt
Filed under: Arabidopsis thaliana (thale cress)
Lineage: Eukaryota; Viridiplantae; Streptophyta; Magnoliopsida; Brassicales; Brassicaceae
Description: ATSL177810
Source: RNAcentral